RNAcentral lists this transfer RNA (74 nucleotides) under Planctomycetota bacterium. RNAcentral describes it as "Planctomycetes bacterium (soil metagenome) tRNA-Gly". It matches the Rfam family "tRNA". From Rfam's summary of the family: Transfer RNA (tRNA) molecules are approximately 80 nucleotides in length. Lineage: Bacteria; Pseudomonadati; Planctomycetota. The record is from RNAcentral.
GCGGGUGUAGCUCAAUGGUAGAGCGGUUGGUUCCCAUCCAACAUACGAGGGUUCGAUUCCCUUCACCCGCUCCA